This 72-nucleotide transfer RNA is filed under the name Marmota monax (woodchuck). Its description in RNAcentral is "tRNA.Ala". It matches the Rfam family "tRNA". From Rfam's summary of the family: Transfer RNA (tRNA) molecules are approximately 80 nucleotides in length. Their secondary structure includes four short double-helical elements and three loops (D, anti-codon, and T loops). Lineage: Eukaryota; Metazoa; Chordata; Mammalia; Rodentia; Sciuridae. The record is from RNAcentral.
GGGGAUGUGGCUCAAGCAGUAAGUGCACUUGCCUGGCAUGCAAGGGCCCUGGGUUCGAUCCUCAGCACCACA